This is a long non-coding RNA of Helianthus annuus (common sunflower), 557 nucleotides long. RefSeq lists it as uncharacterized. The transcript is spliced from 4 exons. The record is from RefSeq and is a predicted model, not a curated record. NCBI's taxonomy places the organism in Eukaryota, Viridiplantae, Streptophyta, Magnoliopsida, Asterales, Asteraceae.
CCUAAGUUGUAAGAAAUUGAAAUUAUAUUACUAAUUUUAAUAAAAAUCAAAACCAAACACCCAUUAAGGAUGUCUGGUCGUACAGGAAAGGGCAGGGGCGACUCCCCACUCUUCAAAACCCUAGAACUUCACUAAUCUUGCAAAUUGAAGGUCCAAUUCAGUCCAAAAUCGAAAUUUAAGCAUGGAUUAUUGAUCCUGAUCACAAGAGGAUUAAAAGUUUGAUCUCGUCAAGCUAAGUGGGAGCUGGAAAGGAAUGGAUCAAACGGAUCAUGGAUGCGAAGAAUGUUUGCGCGGACGCGAGGGUAAAACGGCUUAUGGAAUUUACGUGGCUAUGAAUCAGCAAAUUAUUAAGGCAAGGUAUUAAAACGGGUCAAUACUUUGACCCGCGCCAGGUUCAUUUUGGAUGCCGAUAGACGAUCAAGCUCAUCGAAGAACAGAACAUGAUAUAGUUACAUGCUUCCGCACUUUGCCACGUUGUAUAUUUUAAACAACGAAUUCGAUCACGUUUUGUAGAAUAACUUAUGAAUUGUAAAAGUUUUAAUUUACUCGAAAUUUUC